UUCCAAGAAAGCUCCUUCACCAACAUGUGCUCUUCACGAAGACGAAACAAGCUGUCCUCCAAUUCUUCCCGGCUCAUUCUGCUCAAGGGUGGUUGAGCUUUCAUAUUCUUACCUAAAGUCCCAGGAAAGGAUCAUUCCUGGAUGUGGAAUAUCAUUCCAUACUGCUCCAGCAUAAGAUAAUUUGGACCUAGACAAAGUUGUGCCCACAACUAUCUUCAAACCCUUACUAAGGAAAAGGAUAGAAACCUUUCUUGAUUACCAAGUCAUCUCAUUUGUUUUCGUGGUUUGGAGAAACUGUCCCCAAAUUUGCCUCCUUGACAUAGAGCAUUUGCGUGGUCUAAGCAGAGGAAAGUAGAGUACAUUUUUCAGUGUGCGAGUGUUCACUGACCCACAGUCAGGUCUGAUCUCAUGAGAAAGAUCUUAAGAUUCCAACGCUCAAAAUAUAGCUCCUUUCCUGGAGGAAAGAGUUCAGAACUUCAGUCUCAGAACCACUGCAGCCACCACUACCACCUCUCUGGUUUAGACUUUGGAAAUCAUAUAUUUUAAAAAAAAACAGCUUUAUUGAAGUGUAAUUGGCAUGUAAUACACUGAAUAUACUUAAAGUGUAAAAAUUUGGUUAAUUUUGACAUCUGUAUAUAACUGUGAAACCAUCACAUAAGAUAAUGACUAUAUCCAUCGUUGCCAAAUUUCCUUGUGCCCCUUUGUGAUCCAUUGCUUUCCACCCUACCCUAACACCAAUUCCACUUUAGUCCCCAGGCAACCACUGAUGAUGGCUUUCUAUUGCUAUAGUUCUGAUUUUCUAGAAUUUUAUAUAGAUCAAAACAUCCAUUAUGUACUUGUUUUAUUUUUUAGUUUAGAGGGGUGGUUUGAUUUCUUUCACUCAGUAUAAUUCUUUUGAGAUUCAUCCACGGUGUUUCUUAUAUCAGUAGUUUCUUUUGAUUGCUGGUAGCAUUUCACUGUACAGAUAUACCAUAAUUUAUUAUCCAUUUACUGUUGAUGGAUAUUUGAAUUGCUUCUAGGUUUUGGCUGUUACAAAUACAGCAGCUAUGAAAAUCUUUGUUUAAGUCUUUGUGUGGACAUGUUUUAAUUUUUCUUGGGUAAAUACAUAGGAGUGGAAUAGCUGGGUCAUAAGAUAGGUGUAUGUUUAACUUUUUAAAAGUCUGGGCAGCCCGGGUGGCUUGGUGGUUUAGCACUGCCUUCAGCCCAGGGCCUGGUCCUGGUGACCCAAGAUCAAGUCCCACGUCGG
Long non-coding RNA from Canis lupus familiaris (dog), 1246 nucleotides. RefSeq lists it as uncharacterized. The transcript is spliced from 3 exons. NCBI's taxonomy places the organism in Eukaryota, Metazoa, Chordata, Mammalia, Carnivora, Canidae. The record is from RefSeq and is a predicted model, not a curated record.